AGAGCGAACGCUGGCGGCAGGCCUAACACAUGCAAGUCGAGCGCCCGUAGCAAUACGGGAGCGGCAGACGGGAUAGUAACACGUGGGAACGCGCCCUUCGGUUCGGAAUAACUCAGGGAAACUUGAGCUAAUACCGGAUACGCCCUUACGGGGAAAGAUUUAUUGCCGAAGGAACGGCCCGCGUCCGAUUAGCUAGUUGGUGAGGUAAUGGCUCACCAAGGCGACGAUCGGUAGCUGGUCUGAGAGGAUGACCAGCAUCACUGGGACUGAGACACGGCCCAGACUCCUACGGGAGGCAGCAGUGGGGAAUAUUGGACAAUGGGCGCAAGCCUGAUCCAGCCAUGCCGCGUGGAUGAUGAAGGCCUUAGGGUUGUAAACCUCUUUCGACAGGGACGAUAAUGACGGUACCUGUAGAAGAAGCACCGGCCAACUAUGCGCCAGCAGCCGC
Molecule: ribosomal RNA, 448 nt
Filed under: uncultured bacterium
Lineage: Bacteria
Description: SSU rRNA
Rfam family: Bacterial small subunit ribosomal RNA
Source: RNAcentral